GGAGAAGGAGAGGCAGCCGCUUUCUAUAAGCACAGUAUGCUUAUAGGAAGAGGAAAGUCCGGGCUCCACGGAGAAGGGUGCUUCGUAACACGAAGUGGGGGCAACCCCAAGGAAAGUGCCACAGAAAAUAUACCGCCGCAUAUAUUGUGCGGUAAGGGUGAAAAGGUGAGGUAAGAGCUCACCAGUGUUUCAGGCGACUGAAACAGCUUGGCAAACCCCACCCGGAGAAAGGCCAAGUAGGAAGCAGAUGGGAUUCUCCGCCCAAUAGCUUUUGCUAACUGCUUCGGGUAGGCCGAUAGAACUUAAUGGCAACAUUAAGUCAAGAUAGAUGGCUGCAAUGCCUCAAUGGCAUAACAGAACCCGGCUUAUCUCCUUCUCUCUUU
RNAcentral lists this RNase P RNA (383 nucleotides) under Candidatus Schekmanbacteria bacterium. RNAcentral's name for it is "RNase P RNA component class A". It matches the Rfam family "Bacterial RNase P class A". From Rfam's summary of the family: Ribonuclease P (RNase P) is a ubiquitous endoribonuclease, found in archaea, bacteria and eukarya as well as chloroplasts and mitochondria. The record is from RNAcentral. Lineage: Bacteria; Candidatus Schekmaniibacteriota.